UACGGGGGGAGCAAGCGUUGUCCGGAAUUAUUGGGCGUAAAGAGCUCGUAGGCGGUCUGUCGCGUCGGUCGUGAAAACCUGCAGCUUAACUGUGGGCGUGCGGUCGAUACGGGCAUGACUGGAGUUCGGCAGGGGAGACUGGAAGUUCCUGGUGUAGCGGUGAAUGACGCGAGAUAUCAGGAAGAACACCCGUGGCGAAGGCGGCUCUCUGGAACGCAACUGACGCUGAGACGCGAAAGCGUGGGGAGCAAACAGG
Molecule: ribosomal RNA, 256 nt
Filed under: uncultured bacterium
Lineage: Bacteria
Description: partial 16S ribosomal RNA
Rfam family: Bacterial small subunit ribosomal RNA
Source: RNAcentral